Molecule: ribosomal RNA, 320 nt
Filed under: uncultured Prevotella sp.
Lineage: Bacteria; Pseudomonadati; Bacteroidota; Bacteroidia; Bacteroidales; Prevotellaceae
Description: partial 16S ribosomal RNA
Source: RNAcentral
GGAGUCUGGUCCGUGUCUCAGUACCAGUGUGGGGGACCUUCCUCUCAGAACCCCUAACGAUCGUAGGCCAGGUGGGCCGUUACCCCGCCGGCAAGCUAAUCAGACGCAUCCCCAUCCCUUACCGAUGAAUCUUUGCUCCUCAUCUGAUGCCAUCAAAGGAGAACAUAGAGUAUUAAUCCGACUUUCGCCGGGCUAUCCUCUAGUAAGGGGAAGGUUGGAUACGCGUUACUCACCCGUGCGCCGGUCGCCAUCAAAGGAAGCAAGCUUCCUUCAUGCUGCCCCACGACUUGCAUGUGUUAAGCCUGUAGCUAGCGUUCAUC